This is a long non-coding RNA of Gasterosteus aculeatus aculeatus (three-spined stickleback), 5702 nucleotides long. Lineage: Eukaryota; Metazoa; Chordata; Actinopteri; Perciformes; Gasterosteidae. The record is from Ensembl.
CGGACAGAGUGAUUAACAGUGAGAAGGCAUCGAUGCGUUUUUUAUGUCUGUCCGUUAAUAAAUACGGCUCCUGUUGAAGUUUACAAAACGUGUACCUUCUGGAUUUUUUGAGAAAUAUGUCGGCAGAUUUGUAUUGGAGCCUAUGGGGCUUUUAGCAGAGGUUGUGUGACCGUUGGUCUCCGUAGGCCAAAACUAAAGAACUCUGGGAUUCUAUGAGCACAUUAAUCCAAUCAGCACAGCCAUGUCCCCAUUAAUCUGAAGAAAUGAAGCCUCUAGAGUGUACACUUUGGCUGCAAGGACUGAAGUUCCAUAUUUUUUUAACCAGAUUCUGACGCUGCCUCACACUCUGAUCUCCGGGUCUCACUCUAGCAGACGCAAUACACACUCAUGUAAAAGUCAGAAACGGAGCGAAGAACUAGUGAAACAUAAUCAGUGAUUAUGAAAAAAGUAGAAUAGAUAUCAACAAGCUGUUUGUUUCGUGAAAUAGUUGAGACUUGUGUCAACAUUUGAAAGUUGAAAUGGUGUCUGUAGCUGAAAGAUUGGCGGAGCUGAAAAAUCUGAAAGUUGAAGAAGUUUAAGAGGAUUUGAAAACAAACUCCAUUGGAAAACCAUGUGAAGAAAUAUUCAUGAUUACUGAUUCAUAUAAAUCCAAGCUUAAAAGGUAGAAAGCUCAAAAGUCAUAGCUAGAAAGCCAGAAAGGAGCUGAAUAUUUUAAAAUGUGAACGGUUUUAAUAGCUGAAAGUGUGGAGGAGUUGAAAGGUGCAACGGAAGAAAUAGAAGAAGAAGAAGAAGAAGGCGGAAUAAAGAUUCGAAGAACAAUACUUGAAUGGUUAAUGCAUUCCAACAAUAAAUUGAUUUUGUAUGAUUAGUAACCAGGCACUAAAGCGAUAACACAUAAAACGUGCUUUGAACCAAUCCGAUUGCUUGGGUCCUAAGCUCGGACUCAUCUCUUCAGUAGGACUAAUUUGUUCACCACACCGUCUCUAUGGUUAGAAUCCUGCGUGUCCAUGGCAACGCUCUGCUUUGCAUGGCAACGCAGCGCUUAAAAAGGGGUGGGGCUACAUAAACUCUAUAAGCAAGGAAUCUGUCUGUAAGGAGUCUAUGUAUGUAUAUUAGCUGUUAAGGUCAGUGAUGGAGAGGGACAGUUUGAUGAUGACCCCUUCAGUCAUAUUGAUGAGGAGGGAGAGAAGGAGGAGCAGCAGGAGAGAGAAGGAGGAGAAGAGAGGAAGAGGAGCAGUAGGAGGAGAGAGAAGGAGGAGAAGAGAGGAAGAGGAGCAGCAGGAGAGAGAAGGAGGAGAAGAGAGGAAGAGGAGCAGCAGGAGGAGAGAAGAGGUGGUGAAGAGAGGAAGAGGAGCAGCAGGAGGAGAGAGGAGCAGGAGAAGAAAGGAGGAGCAGCAGCAGGAGGAGAGUGGAGGAGGAGCAGCAGCAGGAGGAGAAGAGAGGUAGAGCAGGAUCCAGGAAACAGACUGGUAGAGGGGCAGUGUGCAGGGCUGGGUGGGCAAUCAUAUUAGGCAUAUCAAUCAAUCAAAGCUUUAUUAAGGACACGCACACAAAAAUAGAAAAAUAAAGCACAAUGUUACAUAUGUUACAUAUUUACAUAUAGGAUAAAAUGCCGAUAGUUCCACAUACUAGAUAAUAACCUGACUGAAGCACAGAUUGAAUUACAAAAUGUAUUAUUCUUUGCCAUAUUUAUUACUCAUGUUCUUCUCAUGCAUAUGUUAUGUAGCUGUACAAUCCGUAAGCAGAUGCAGGGUCCAGCAUAGGGGAAGCUGAGGCAGGGAGAGUUGAAAGUGAGUACAUACACACACACACACACACACACACACACACACACACACACACACACACACACACACACACACACACACACACACACACACACACACAAUCUCUAUUGUAUGGAACUGAAUUGUAAUUUUUGAGUAUGAGUGGGUGUGAGUAUUUGUAACUAUUUUAACACUCCGACUGACUAUACACAUGACAUGAUGGUAGUUAGCAGUAUACUGUGUGACUUAUGUGUUUGAGAUUAGGUUUUGCUGACCUGGUUGUGUUCAGUGCAGUGGUGACUUGCUUAUAGAACCUGAGGAGGCAGGUGUUAUCCUAAAGUUUCUUGAAGGUCUUUAGCGUAAUCUGAUUGUCUUUAUACCAUAAAAACACUAUUAGAAUGAAAAUAACUGCAAAAAAUCCUGCUCGUGCACCAAGGGCAUUCGCAUAAAAGGCCUCUCCGACUUAGUCCCGGGCUGAAUUUCAGUCCCAGUACAUCCCUGGGUUGAUCCAUACUGGUUGUACACGGCGCUCAAGGCGCUCUGCCAAACAUGCCAAAGCUCAUCUACGACGGCGAGAUGCUGGACGGCGAGAUGCUGAGCGGCGCUCAAGCGCGUGAGAUAUGGAGCUUGUUUCAGGGCGCGUCGGAGAAACAAAGCUGUCGUUCUCGGCGAGCACUUCAUGAGAUUAAAGAGCGAGAGACGGCGCCCUUUUCUUUACAGUAGCUGAACCAUCUUAACGGGGAAAUAAGUUAUUCUAAAAGCAGCCGAAGAUUUAAGGCGUGGAUAGCGAGGGGGGCGGCGGGAGCGGACGCACCUCGCAGCAUCGAUCGGACCCUGAAAGCACCGUCUCCACCUUACUGUCAAAAAGAACAGCGAGCGCGUAGAAAACCCCUUCGAGCGCGAGCAGAGAUUCUCCUCGCGAGCAACGAAGUUCACGUUUCGCAAGCAAGCAAAUACCUCGCCGAGACGAACUUGCUCGCGGAUGUUUGAUUUUGGUUAAAUUCUUAAGGUCAUUUAAUCAUUAUUACAUUAUGUGACGGGUAGUAUCAAGGGGUCGGACUGACGUCAUCAGGUUUUACCGGCCGAGUGGAGUCCCUUCGGACGUCGUUGGGGAGGGUUCAGCUCCUCAGCCUUUCCAGGUGGCGCACAAACUGCUGUUUUGCCUUUUCGGAGAAGACACGGUGUUAUCAUGGACGAGGAGAUGCAAGAACUUCGGGAGAUGGUGCAAAGGUUGAAGGCAGAUAAUGAGCGGCUGUUACAGGAAAGACAGGCCCUUAACCCGGUCCCGGGCUCCUCGACCGCACCUCCCUCUGUCAACGAUGGUAGUCCUGACUCUGCGCAAAAACUCGAUACUCUCGGUAUGGAAACCCUACCAGGUCGCCACCCGUUGUUGAGCGUGUGGUGUACAUUCCCAAGGAUAAGUGUUCCACCUUUACAGGAGAAGGGGAGGUAUCAGUGAGGGAAUGGGUGGAUGAGGUGCAGUCAAAAUUACGCACACAUAGGAUGUCUAUUGUAGAACAGGCUAAUUUAAUUUAUGACCAUUUAGGAGGAUCAGCAAGAAAUGAGAUUUAAGUAUCGUUCUAGACAGGUCAGGAAGAUCCCAAACUAUUUUUUUCCAUCCUUCAGACUCAGUAUGGCUGUGCAGACUCACCUACUUUAUUGCAGAAUUUCCACUCUCAGAAACAGAAAGAAGAGGAGACAUUGCGUGAGUAUGCAAAUGCGCUAUUCUCUCUAAUGGAUAUUGUUAUACAACAUUCUCCUGACGGAGUUGCACAGGCAGCUAGCCUCUUACGUGAUCAAUAUGUUGAGUUUGUGUCGGAUGGGGGCGGCACGGUGGCGCGGUGGUUAGCACUGUUGCCUCACAGCAAGAAGGUCCUGGGUUUGAUUCCGCCCAGUGGCCUUUCUGUGUGGAGUCUGCAUGUUCUCCCCGUGUCUGCGUGGGUUCUCUCCGGGUUCUCCGGCUUCCUCCCACAGUCCAAAGACAUGCUCUGGGGAUCAGGUUAAUUGGGGACUUUAAAUUGCCCGUAGAUGUGUGAAUGGGAGUGUGAAUGGUUGUUUGUCUCUGUGUAGCCCUGCGAUUGGCCGGCGACCAAUCCAGGAUGUACCCUGUCUAUCGCCCGAAGUUGGCUGGGAUGGACUCCAGCCCCCCCGCGACCCUGUGUGCAGGAUAAGCGGUUUGACAAUGGAUGGAUGGAUGGAUGUGUCGGAUGGCAACCUUAGCCGUGCGCUGAAAGAACUUGUUCGUAUUAACCCCGCCUAUGAUCUCCAUGAUAUCCGUGAUGCAGCCGUCCGAUUGGAGCGAGAAGGUAGACCACGAGAAGGGAGGCCGAGAAGCUAUUCAGUCCCGUCGGUUUAUAGCAUCCAUCAGGGUGCUUCAGGUAGACCCGAAUGCAUGGGCCCCCAUGCCACUUUGAAGGCAGAGGUAGCCAAGCUACGGGAAAUGCUAAAAAGUCAGUGUUGGGGGAAAAUUGUUGAGCCUGCGUGGGGUGAGGCUCUCAGGAAUGUGACCUUUGAUGUGAGCCGGUGACUUAAGGCAGUCCAGGGUGAGAUAAGACACAGAUGAAAUCAUAUGUGCCCUGACUGACCUUUUAGAUGUUGAUUGUCUGGGUCCAUAAAGGGAGGGUCACGGGGUCACCCCUACAUCAUCUGGUACUUUUCCAACACUCCUCUUGAGGGGUGGGCUCUCCUGUCCUGAGGCAGCACAAACCCCCUAAGUAUAAAACCUCCUGUUCUUCUCUUUAACUUUGUCAGAUCUUCCUGCUCCUUUUGGGGGAAGGAACAUCUGUCGCUUUUCAGCUGAAUUGUAGUCAUUUGACUGUCUGUGCUUACGACUUGUGCUGAUGAUUUCUGUAUUCUUUAUCCUUUUCCUAUAUUCUAGUUAGUAAUAAAUACUUAAUCACAAAGCAAGCUCAAGAUACUUUUGAUUUCUCACAUGGGCUAAAUCCACAAAUUUCCACCACAGUCAGCAGGAGCAGUUUAUGCAGUUUUCUAAAACAUUGUCGGCCUUAAGCGUCCCUAAGCACCCUCAGUUUCAAUCUAGGGGUGCAUUCAUCUGUAGGCAGUGGCAACAGCCAGGCCAUUUCGCUAGGGACUGUGAGAAUGGCAGCCCCCCAAUCUGUACAAUUCCACCCUUCUGGACGGGAUGGGCCAAGGUUCUCGCAGCCGCCGUCGGAAAACUAACACCCUCUGACGGGCAGAGCCGGCAAUCAGAAGGGGUCAUGUUAGGCUCGGAUAGCAUAGUUCAGAUCGACCCUGAAUCAAUCUCUAAGUUGGUACAUCCUUGCCCCCAUGUUGUUGUCCAUAUCGCGGGGGUGGGAGUUUCCUGGUUGUUAGACACUGGAUCAAUGGUAUCCACCAUAACUGAAAGCUUCUUUAUUCAGCAUUUCCAGUCGUGGGGUCAGGAGAGGCUGCAGUCAUGCAGAUGGUUGCAGCUCAGAGCAGCUAACCAUCUAGACAUCCCCUAUGUUGGUUACUUAGAGUUAGACGUCACAGUGCUUGGCAAGGUGAUUCCAAAAUGUGGCAUUCUCAUUGUUAAGGACCCCUGCAAUCCUUACCCAAACCAGAUUACCCAGGUGUCCUGGGAAUGAAUGUUAUUGGUCAGUGUUUCGAAGAACUGUUUGGCCAACACGGAUUGGGCAUGUUUGACCUAUUAAGGAUGCGAAUAGCACCAGGCCUUGCAGUACUGUCAUCAAGGGCACCUCACACCACAGGCUGAGAAAGUAGGGGCAGUCAGAGUUAGAGGUAAGGCCAGAGUUUGUGUCCCGGCUGCCACCAUGAAACUAGUGGCAACCACUUGCUCCCAGGGAGUCUUUAAUCUUCGUGGCUCUGUACUAUUCCAACCCCCCUGAGAAUAGCAACCUCACCGGUGGCUUAUUGUUGGCACCAGCUAUCGUAAAGGUCGCACAAGGCACAGUGUACAUCCCGUUUGUUAAUGUA